GAUAAAUUAAAGGGAAAAUUUUACUUUUACACUUUAUUGAGUACCACUUUUCAAAUAUACACUUAGAAAGAGGUCAUUUUCAUAAAUACACUUUUCAUUAAUGACCAAAAGACCAUACUAGCCCUAACCUUAUCUCUCUCUGGCGAUCCUCUUUUCUUCCUCUCUCUCGCGAUCUUUUUUCUUCCUCUCUGCCUCCGAUUCACCGGAGAUCCACCAUCUCUCUCUCGCGAUCUUUUUUCUUGUGGAUCUUCACUCUGUUUACGAGAAUCACUUUGUCUUGCGGAUCUUCACUCUGUUUUCGCAACGUUCUCGAUGGCUUGGGCUGCAGAUCUAGUUUGAGAGAGUAUAUUUGUGUGGUUAAAGGUUCAAAUCGAUCCUCGUUUGCUCUCAUUGGGUUCGAGAACCGGCAAAUUGAGGUGCUGUUGGCUUCAGACUCGAGAACCGGCGAAUUUCUAGUAUCAGCAGACGUUCUGCAAGGAUUGCUUACUGUGGUCUCUUCGCACUUUCCUUAAUCGUAUCAUGGAUUCUCCGUGAGGUUGCUGCUCCUCUCAUGGAGAAGCUUCCUUGGAUUAACCAUUUUCACAAUACACCUGAUCGGGAAUGGUUUGAGACUGAUGUUGUCUUGCGUGUCAGCUUAGGGAACUUCGUGUUUUUCUCGAUUUUAUAGGUUAUGAUGAUUGGUGUGAAGACUCAGAAAGACCCUCGUGAUGGCAUACACCACGGUGGUUGGAUGAUGAAAGUCAUCUGAAGAACUGAUUUUGGGUCUUGCUUAGAGUUAUAUAAUUUGGUUGCGAGGUCUUUCGAGUCCCUCCAAGCUUGAAGCCCCUUUAGUCUUUCCUCAAAUGCAGCCAUCACAGCUGGCCUGUGCUUGCUUCUUAGUUCCUGCAAUCUACUUUCGUUUAAAUCUUGGUAACCCAUGCAAGCCGUGAAAACUAGCUGGCUGCUAUCAAACGUUGAGCCAGUCAUUGAUUGAAGCAAAGUAAUCGCAUCUCCAGCGUCCUUGGUUGUAAUUAGUGUAGGACCUGUGUUUACUGGGUUUGUUUAGUAAGUCCAUAAGACUUAAUCACAUUAUAUAUCAAUAUGGACACUGACUGAGGUUUAACCGAGUACCAUAAAACUCCAAGUGCUGUUCUGAAAAAGCAUUACACGGUUUC
Molecule: long non-coding RNA, 1154 nt
Organism: Brassica rapa (field mustard)
Lineage: Eukaryota; Viridiplantae; Streptophyta; Magnoliopsida; Brassicales; Brassicaceae
Source: RefSeq, a predicted model, not a curated record